UCAGCAGCCGCGGUAAGACGGAGGGGGCAAGCGUUGUCCGGAAUUACUGGGCGUAAAGGGCGCGUAGGCGGGCGCGUACGGCGGUGGUGAAAGCUCCUGGCUUAACUGGGAGAGGCCCAUCGCAACGGCGCGUCUCGAGGGUGGUAGAGGCGGAUGGAAUUCCAGGUGUAGCGGUGAAAUGCGUAGAGAUCUGGAGGAACACCCGUGGCGAAGGCGGUCCGCUGGGCCAUGCCUGACGCUGAAGCGCGAAGGCCAGGGGAGUGAACGGGAUUAGAUACCCCGGUAAUCCUGGCGGUAAACGAUGGAUACUAGGUGUCAGUGGUAUCGACCCUACUGGUGCCGUAGCUAACGCGAUAAGUAUCCCGCCUGGGGAGUACGGCCGCAAGGUUGAAACUUAAAGGAAUUGGCGGGGGAC
This 415-nucleotide ribosomal RNA is filed under the name uncultured bacterium. Its description in RNAcentral is "bacterial SSU rRNA". It matches the Rfam family "Bacterial small subunit ribosomal RNA", at positions 508 to 921 of the family's 1533-position model. The record is from RNAcentral.